Beta vulgaris subsp. vulgaris (sugar beet) is the source of this 107-nucleotide small nucleolar RNA. It matches the Rfam family "Plant small nucleolar RNA R71". From Rfam's summary of the family: R71 is a member of the C/D box family of snoRNAs containing the C (UGAUGA) and D (CUGA) box motifs. Multiple nearly identical copies of this snoRNA have been identified in Arabidopsis, and it is thought to function as a 2'-O-ribose methylation guide for 18S ribosomal RNA. The record is from Rfam. NCBI's taxonomy places the organism in Eukaryota, Viridiplantae, Streptophyta, Magnoliopsida, Caryophyllales, Amaranthaceae.
AUCCCGUGAUGAGGACAUUGUCUUUGCAAACGUAGAAACCUUCUCCAUGCUUCAUACAAUGAUUCGUCGUCAUGUUGCUCAAAGGUUGCUAACUCGUUCCUCAGCUU